RNAcentral lists this ribosomal RNA (489 nucleotides) under uncultured bacterium. RNAcentral describes it as "partial 16S ribosomal RNA". It matches the Rfam family "Bacterial small subunit ribosomal RNA", at positions 28 to 507 of the family's 1533-position model. The record is from RNAcentral.
GACGAACGCUGGCGGCGUGCUUAACACAUGCAAGUCGAACGGUGAGGGGAUCAGCUUGCUGGUUCUGGAUGAGUGGCGCACGGGUGAGUAACACGUGAGUAACCUGCCCCCUUCUUCUGGAUAACCGCAUGAAAGUGUGGCUAAUACGGGAUAUUCUGGUUCUGUCGCAUGAUGGGUCUGGGAAAGAUAUUGUUUCGGUGGGGGAUGGGCUCGCGGCCUAUCAGCUUGUUGGUGGGGUGAUGGCCUACCAAGGCGGUGACGGGUAGCCGGCCUGAGAGGGGGGGCGGUGAGAGUGGGACUGGGACACGGCCCAGACUGCUACGGGAGGGAGCAGUGGGGAAUAUUGCACAAUGGGCGCAAGCCUGAUGCAGCGACGCCGCGUGAGGGAUGGAGGCGUGCGGGUUGUAAGCCUCUUUCGCCAGUGAAGCAGGCCUGCUCGUUGUGGGUGGGUUGACGGUAGCUGGAUAAGAAGCGCCGGCUAACUACGUG